Long non-coding RNA from Helianthus annuus (common sunflower), 930 nucleotides. RefSeq lists it as uncharacterized. Lineage: Eukaryota; Viridiplantae; Streptophyta; Magnoliopsida; Asterales; Asteraceae. The record is from RefSeq and is a predicted model, not a curated record. The transcript has 4 exons.
UUCUGCCGUCAGACAAUUAGCUAGAUGACCGCAGUAUCGUCCGUGUUUGAUGAAAUCGAGCCCACUGAUAUCGCAAAAUCAUGUGAUGUUGAAGAAACGUCGUUGACUGUUUAUAGGAUUUCGGAGGACGAUCUCAUCUCAGUCUUAUGGAGUUGCUGGAAGGUGUUGAUCGUCAAUUCAAAAAACUUUGGUGGCUUCUUAAGAGAUCUAUGAUGGAUUGUUUGAAAAUUUACACUCUUUUGUGAAAAGAUAUAUGGCAGGUAACGAAACUGAGUCAUGCCAUUAUAUGUGAACGAUGAGAGCUCUGAAAAUCUUUUUUCCAGGAAGAGACUUUUUGAUUCUUUUUUUGGAUACAUUGACCAGUUUUGGUGUUCACCGCUUCUAUAAAACUUCCCAUAGUAAUACCAUAUAACAUUUGGCAUAUCUUUAUCCCCCAUGAACUUGUUCACAACGCUAAGAUUCUUGCCAAAUAUAUAUAAACCAAUAAUAAAACUAUCAUGUUCAAUCGCGCUCCAACAUUCUUCACUUGAUGAACACGGAACUGAAACCAAAACCAUUGUUUGUUUCACAACCUACAUUACAAAACUCACCCUUUCUCCCCAUUUCCCACCAAACCCUUCACCUUUCUCACGGAUUCUCCCCCAAAUUGGUUCAUUCUCAUCAAUUUCACCAAAUUCUCCUAUAAAUCGAUAAAUCCGCCCACCCACCACAUCUUCGAUCAAGACGAAGUCACUUCGAGUUGAAAUGGAGCAACAGAUCAAGACGACGGACACGAAGACAAUGGCGGUGAUGAUAACAUGAUGUAGUUUUACACGUUUUAUGCAAUGUUAUGAUGUUAAUAUGUGAAUUAAAUGAAUAACUUUUAAGUAGUUUUAGGAUGUUUAUAUAAUUAUUAUGUUUAUGUAGUUAGUUGUGAGUGGCGAAGAAAAA